This 497-nucleotide ribosomal RNA is filed under the name uncultured bacterium. RNAcentral describes it as "partial 16S ribosomal RNA". It matches the Rfam family "Bacterial small subunit ribosomal RNA", at positions 28 to 507 of the family's 1533-position model. The record is from RNAcentral.
GAUGAACGCUGGCGGCGCGCCUAAUACAUGCAAGUCGAGCGAACAGACGAGGAGCUUGCUCCUCUGACGUUAGCGGCGGACGGGUGAGUAACACGUGGAUAACCUACCUAUAAGACUGGGAUAACUUCGGGAAACCGGAGCUAAUACCGGAUAAUAUAUUGAACCGCAUGGUUCAAUAGUGAAAGACGGUUUUGCUGUCACUUAUAGAUGGAUCCGCGCCGCAUUAGCUAGUUGGUAAGGUAACGGCUUACCAAGGCAACGAUGCGUAGCCGACCUGAGAGGGUGAUCGGCCACACUGGAACUGAGACACGGUCCAGACUCCUACGGGAGGCAGCAGUAGGGAAUCUUCCGCAAUGGGCGAAAGCCUGACGGAGCAACGCCGCGUGAGUGAUGAAGGUCUUCGGAUCGUAAAACUCUGUUAUUAGGGAAGAACAAAUGUGUAAGUAACUAUGCACGUCUUGACGGUACCUAAUCAGAAAGCCACGGCUAGCUACGUG